This 314-nucleotide ribosomal RNA is filed under the name uncultured bacterium. RNAcentral's name for it is "bacterial SSU rRNA". It matches the Rfam family "Bacterial small subunit ribosomal RNA", at positions 28 to 334 of the family's 1533-position model. The record is from RNAcentral.
GAUGAACGCUAGCUACAGGCUUAACACAUGCAAGUCGAGGGGCAGCAUGGUCUUAGCUUGCUAAGGCCGAUGGCGACCGGCGCACGGGUGAGUAACACGUAUCCAACCUGCCGUCUACUCUUGGAUAGCCUUUCGAAAGAAAGAUUAAUACCCGAUAGCAUAAUGAUUCCGCAUGGUUUCAUUAUUAAAGGAUUCCGGUAAAGGAUGGGGAUGCGUUCCAUUAGGUUGUUGGUGAGGUAACGGCUCACCAAGCCUUCGAUGGAUAGGGGUUCUGAGAGGAAGGUCCCCCACAUUGGAACUGAGACACGGCCCAG